GAUCUGGAAGGGGCUGAGGAGUGUUAUGGGAGGGCGAUACUGGCGAGCCCCGGUGACGGUGAGGUGCUGGCGAUGUAUGGGGGGCUUGUGUGGGAGGCUCACCGGGACAGCGAGAGAGCCGGCGGUUAUUUCCAGCGAGCGGUGGAGUCUUCGCCGGAUGACAGCUAUGUGCUAGGGUCGUAUGCGAAAUUUCUGUGGGAUGCUGAGGAGGACGAGGAGGUUGGGAGCUCAGUGUCAUCGUCGCCACCACUGGUGAAGGCCUUCUGAUGGACAUUCUGGUAACUGCUGAACUGACUGUGUAUAGAGGCCAUCUCUAAGUUCAAUCUAUAACAACUUGACGAGCACUGAGGGUGAUGUUGGAGGCUUUUGUGCCAACAACUUUGUAUAUGCUAUGGAUGGUCAGUUUUAGUUAUAACGAUGUAAUUGAGUUUGUUAACAUUUUGACAAUCA
RNAcentral lists this unclassified non-coding RNA (450 nucleotides) under Hevea brasiliensis (rubber tree). Lineage: Eukaryota; Viridiplantae; Streptophyta; Magnoliopsida; Malpighiales; Euphorbiaceae. The record is from RNAcentral.